AAUAUUGGACAAUGGGGGCAACCCUGAUCCAGCUAUGCCGCGCGUGUGAAGAAGGUCUUCUGAUUUUUUUGCACUUUAAGUUGGUAGGAAGGGUUUUAGGUUAAUACUCUGAAGUUUUGACGUUACGAACAGAAUAAGCACCGGCUAACCCUGUGCCUGCAGCCGCGGUAAUACAGAGGGUGCAAGCGUUAAUCGGAAUUACUGGGCGUAAAGCGCGCGUAGGUGGUUCAGUAAGAUGGGUGUGAAAUCCCCGGGCUUAACCUGGGAACUGCUUUCAUAACUGCUGAGCUAGAGUACGGUAGAGGGUAGUGGAAUUUCCUGUGUAGCGGUGAAAUGCGUAGAUAUAGGAAGGAACACCAGUGGCGAAGGCGACUACCUGGACUGAUACUGACACUGAGGUGCGAAAGCGUGGGGAGCAAAC
Molecule: ribosomal RNA, 421 nt
Filed under: uncultured bacterium
Lineage: Bacteria
Description: partial 16S ribosomal RNA
Rfam family: Bacterial small subunit ribosomal RNA
Source: RNAcentral